RNAcentral lists this ribosomal RNA (526 nucleotides) under uncultured bacterium. RNAcentral describes it as "bacterial SSU rRNA". It matches the Rfam family "Bacterial small subunit ribosomal RNA", at positions 777 to 1304 of the family's 1533-position model. The record is from RNAcentral.
AAUAGAUACCCCGGUAGUCCACGCCGUAAACGAUGAGUGCUAGGUGUCGGGGGGUUCUACCCUCGGUGCCGAAGGUAACCCAUUAAGCACUCCGCCUGGGGAGUACGGCCGCAAGGCUGAAACUCAAAGGAAUUGACGGGGGCCCGCACAAGCGGUGGAGCAUGUGGUUUAAUUCGAAGCAACGCGAAGAACCUUAUCAGGGCUUGACAUCCCGCUGACCGCUUCAGAGAUGGAGCUUCCCUUCGGGGCAGCGGUGACAGGUGGUGCAUGGUUGUCGUCAGCUCGUGUCGUGAGAUGUUGGGUUCAGUCCCGCAACGAGCGCAACCCUUAUCGCUAGUUGCCAGCAUUCAGUUGGGCACUCUAGCGAGACAGCCGGUGAAAGCCGGAGGAAGGUGGGGAUGACGUCAAAUCAUCAUGCCCCUUAUGUCCUGGGCUACACACGUGCUACAAUGGCCGGUACAAUGGGUCGCCAACCCGCGAGGGGGAGCUAAUCCCACAAAAACCCGGUCUCAGUUCGGAUCGCAGG